This 665-nucleotide ribosomal RNA is filed under the name Lecidea cancriformis. Its description in RNAcentral is "SSU rRNA". It matches the Rfam family "Bacterial small subunit ribosomal RNA", at positions 394 to 1116 of the family's 1533-position model. The record is from RNAcentral. Lineage: Eukaryota; Fungi; Ascomycota; Lecanoromycetes; Lecideales; Lecideaceae.
AUAGCUGGUUGCAUUAACAAAAAGUUAGUGUAAGAUCGACUCUGUCGAAUAAAAUUCUAGAUAGAAUUAUGAUAAUGACAUUAUCUAUCUAUGUGUCUUGACCAAAUUACGUGCCAGCAGUCGCGGUAAUACGUAAAAGACUAGUGUUAUUCAUCUUUAAUAGGUUUAAAGGGUACUUAGACGGUAAAUAAAGCCCGAAUAGGGAACUAAUAUACUAGAGUUUGAUGUAAGGAAGCAUGAAAGUACUGUUGGUGUAGAGAUAAAAUUCUAUCAUACCAAAUAUGGCACAGGUUUAGGCGAAAGCAUCUUCUUAUGUAAUAACUGACGUUGAAGGACGAAGGCUUUGUGUCUCGAACAGGAUUAGAUACCCCAGUAGUCUAAGCAGACAAUGAUGAAUGUCAUAGAUUAGAUUUAAUUAAAUUUAUUCUAUAAAUGAAAGUGUAAGCAUUCCACCUCAAGAGUAAUUUGGCAACAUUGGAACUGAAAUCAUUAGACCGUUUCUGAAACCAGUAGUGAAGUAUGUUGUUUAAUUAGAAGAUACGCAAAAAACCUUACCACAAUUUGAAUUAGUAAUAUGUUUUCACAAGCGUUGCACGGCUGUCUACAGUUAAUGUCGUGAGAUUUUGGUUAGUUCCAUUAAAUUAACGCAAACCCUUACUUUAUUU